Heterocephalus glaber (naked mole-rat) is the source of this 371-nucleotide long non-coding RNA. NCBI's taxonomy places the organism in Eukaryota, Metazoa, Chordata, Mammalia, Rodentia, Bathyergidae. The record is from Ensembl.
ACAGGGUCUUGCUCGGGUCAGGCUGGCCUUGAACUCAAUGGUAAUCCUGCCUCAGCCUUGGAGUCCUGAGAUUGCAGGCCCUACUAGCAUCUCCCUGAAUUUAAACAGAAGCUUCCGCAAAGAAGUCUGGGAAUAUCACUGGCCAGCUUCUAACCCUGCUGUUACAGAGAACUUGGAAGAGUGGGAAAGGGCUAAGAGCGAGACCCGCUCCUGCGUCAUUUCCUGAGAAUAAGAAGUCUUCGGGAUGGGGAAAGGCAAAAGAACUCUGAAUAUGGGAGAACAGGCACAAGAACAAAAAGACUGGAAGAACUAUAUUACUGGUACAGAUAUGUUGGAGAUGAAACCGGAAGACAUCUUGGAAUCCAUCAACA